GCUUUUAGAUUGCUCCGUCAGUAGAGCAGGAGACCCUUAAUCUCAGGGUUGUGGGUUCAAGCCCCACGCUGGGCA
This is a non-coding RNA of Podarcis lilfordi (Lilford's wall lizard), 75 nucleotides long. The record is from the annotation of a GenBank genome assembly. Lineage: Eukaryota; Metazoa; Chordata; Lepidosauria; Squamata; Lacertidae.